AACGAACGCUGGCGGCAUGCCUAACACAUGCAAGUCGAACGAGAUCUUCGGGUCUAGUGGCGCACGGGUGCGUAACGCGUGGGAACCUGCCCUUUGGUUCGGAAUAACAGUUGGAGACGACUGCUAAUACCGGAUGAUGACGAAAGUCCAAAGAUUUAUCGCCAGAGGAUGAGCCCGCGUAGGAUUAGCUAGUUGGUGUGGUAAAGGCGCACCAAGGCGACGAUCCUUAGUUGGUCUGAGAGGAUGAUCAGCCACACUGGGACUGAGACACGGCCCAGACUCCUACGGGAGGCAGCAGUGGGGAAUAUUGGACGAUGGGCGAAAGCCUGAUCCAGCAAUGCCGCGUGAGUGAUGAAGGCCUUAGGGUUGUAAAGCUCUUUUACCCGGGAUGAUAAUGACAGUACCGGGAGAAUAAGCUCCGGCUAACUCCGUGCCAGCCGCCGCCGUAA
RNAcentral lists this ribosomal RNA (449 nucleotides) under uncultured bacterium. RNAcentral describes it as "partial 16S ribosomal RNA". It matches the Rfam family "Bacterial small subunit ribosomal RNA", at positions 29 to 523 of the family's 1533-position model. The record is from RNAcentral.